Clarias gariepinus (North African catfish) is the source of this 422-nucleotide long non-coding RNA. RefSeq lists it as uncharacterized. The record is from RefSeq and is a predicted model, not a curated record. Lineage: Eukaryota; Metazoa; Chordata; Actinopteri; Siluriformes; Clariidae. The transcript has 3 exons.
GUCCGCUUAUGUGUUACACUACCAAUAAUACUGGGUGUUCCUGUAGCUGUUAUUGUGAUAUAUUUAAGGAAAAAAAAUAAAACCUCACCAAGAUCUCAGGAUAUGGAACUUCAAAUAACCCGACAUGGAGAUGACACUUAAGGUCUUUGAGGCAUGAGAGCAACACAGUAUGAUGGUUUCUGUUACUUACUUUAUAUACAAUCUCUUAAUUGUGUCACAUCAUGUCCUUUUUAUUUCAAAUGUACAAAACACAUUCUACACCAGGAACACUGUUAUUGUAAUUGAUGCUUUAUAUAUAACCUGAUUAUAGAGAAAUUUGUAAGCAGCCAUUAAAGUAAUUAGUUGCCGAAGAAGUGCCAUUUAUUCUCUAAAUGAGGUGUCUUAAGUCUGCUCCGAAAUACUGUACAGUUUAUCUAGUUUAG